CCUACGGGCGGCAGCAGUGGGGAAUAUUGGGCAAUGGGCGCAAGCCUGACCCAGCAAUGCCGCGUGAAGGAAGAAGGCUCUCGGGUUGUAAACUUCUUUGUCAGGGAAGAGCAGAAGACGGUACCUGUCGAAUAAGCCACUGCAAACUACGUGCCAGCAGCCGCGGUACUACGGAGGUGGCAAGCGGUGUCCGGAUUUACUGGGUGUAACGGGCGUGUAGCCGGGCUGACAAGUCAGAUGUGAAAUCCGGGGGCUCAACCCCCGAACUGCAUUUGAAACUGUUGGUCUUGAGUAUCGGAGAGGCAGGCGGAAUGCCUGGUGUAGCGGUGAAAUGCGUAGAUAUUAGGAGGAACACCAGUGGCGAAGGCGGCCUGCUGGACGACAACUGACGGUGAGGCGCGAAAGCGUGGGGAGCGAACAGGAUUAGAUACCCUGGUAGUC
Molecule: ribosomal RNA, 441 nt
Filed under: uncultured bacterium
Lineage: Bacteria
Description: partial 16S ribosomal RNA
Rfam family: Bacterial small subunit ribosomal RNA
Source: RNAcentral